Molecule: ribosomal RNA, 752 nt
Filed under: uncultured bacterium
Lineage: Bacteria
Description: bacterial SSU rRNA
Rfam family: Bacterial small subunit ribosomal RNA
Source: RNAcentral
AGAGUUUGAUCCUGGCUCAGGACGAACGCUGGCGGCGUGCCUAAUGCAUGCAAGUCGCACGCUCUUGCUUCGGCAAGGGAGUGGCGAACGGCUGAGGAACACGUGCGAACCUAUCCUGCUGUGGGGGACAACCCGGCGAAAGCCGAGCUAAUCCCGCAUACGCUCGGUAACGAGGAAAGCUGGCAACAGCGCAGCAGAGUGGGCGCGCGGCCCAUCAGGUAGUUGGCGGGGUAACGGCCCACCAAGCCGAUGACGGGUCGCUGGUCUGUGAGGACGACCAGCCAGACUGGGACUGCGACACGGCCCAGACUCCUACGGGAGGCAGCAGCAAGGAAUUUUCGGCAAUGGGCGCAAGCCUGACCGAGCAACGCCGCGUGCAGGAUGACGGCCUUCGGGUUGUAAACUGCUUUUACGAGGGACGAUACAGACGGUACCUCGCGAACAAGCCCCGGCUAACUCUGUGCCAGCAGCCGCGGUAAUACAGAGGGGGCAAGCGUUGUCCGGACUUACUGGGCGUAAAGGGCACGUAGGUGGCACGACAAGACCGGUGUGAAAUCCCACGGCUUAACCGUGGGGCGCCACUGGUGACUGUCGCGCUGGAGCCUGGCAGAGGUGGGUGGAAUUGCCGGUGUAGUGGUGAAAUGCGUAGAGAUCGGCAGGAACACCAAGGGGGAACCCAGCCCACUGGGCCAGAGCUGACACUGAGGUGCGACAGCGUGGGGAGCGAACAGGAUUAGAUACCCUAGUAGUCC